UAGGGAAUCUUCCGCAAUGGGCGAAAGCCUGACGGAGCAACGCCGCGUGAGUGAUGAAGGUCUUCGGAUCGUAAAACUCUGUUAUUAGGGAAGAACAAAUGUGUAAGUAACUAUGCACGUCUUGAAGGUACCUAAUCAGAAAGCCACGGCUAACUACGUGCCAGCAGCCGCGGUAAUACGUAGGUGGCAAGCGUUAUCCGGAAUUAUUGGGCGUAAAGCGCGCGUAGGCGGUUUUUUAAGUCUGAUGUGAAAGCCCACGGCUCAACCGUGGAGGGUCAUUGGAAACUGGAAAACUUGAGUGCAGAAGAGGAAAGUGGAAUUCCAUGUGUAGCGGUGAAAUGCGCAGAGAUAUGGAGGAACACCAGUGGCGAAGGCGACUUUCUGGUCUGUAACUGACGCUGAUGUGCGAAAGCGUGGGGAUCAAACAGG
This 429-nucleotide ribosomal RNA is filed under the name Actinomycetes bacterium. RNAcentral's name for it is "Actinobacteria bacterium partial 16S ribosomal RNA". It matches the Rfam family "Bacterial small subunit ribosomal RNA", at positions 355 to 776 of the family's 1533-position model. The record is from RNAcentral. Lineage: Bacteria; Bacillati; Actinomycetota; Actinomycetes.